UCCUCCUUGCAAAGCAGCCCAGGGUUCAAGGGCACGGCUGUCGCUCAGAAAUAAAAUGUUGCUACACUGGGCAAAUUGAAGACGCUCCACAAAAGUGCCUUCAGAUGCUUAGUCAAACUGAGGUCAUGCAAACACUGAGUCAUCGGGAACAAAGUAGCCAAUACAUGAAUAAUUCUAAAGGGAUGGGCCAGGCUCUCGGUGCCUGUACCAAGAACCUUUCUGGUGGUGCAAACUGAGUCUUGUGACUUCAUGCUUCAGUCAAAAGGAGGUUCUGCUGAAGAACACAUCACUCCGAACAAAAGUUGCUUCUUCCACGUUCAAGGUUUCAACGGGCCCUAAGUAAGACAUGUCAGGCAGGUGCAGGACCGAAUUGCACCAAUUCAAGAUCACCAGGAGGCCAGGACCACUAUGGGUUCAGUGCCUGUGCGAUCCUGCCUUGGGCAUAGAAGCCCAUGAGCAGGCCCCAGAGACAGGCGCCUGGGUGCGGGAGACAGCCCAGGAGGGGGGGGCUCAGCACUGAGGGUGGGGAGAGCACUGAGCCCACAAACCCCUCAAACCCAAAGUAGGCAGAGGCGGACCAGAAAAGUCACCGCUCAAAGGAGGGCGCCUUCUGAAGAGGAAGAAGGGUUUUAAGAGGGCUCGAGGAGGGCCAUGAGUCUAACACAGAAUGACGCCUUUUAAGCUUUUCAUAUGUCAGGUUAAAAAGCAAAGCCUUCCUCCUGACCCACGCCCCCAUCCCACCUCCACCUAAGAGGAAUUCCAAUAAGAGCCUUCUAGAAAAUGAGAGAAGAGAGGGAGGGAAGAGGAAGAAGGAAGAACACAGGGCACAGGGGCGCUUAUUUCAAUCCAUCACUGAUGGAGAAGAGGAAGUUCAAGGGCGUGACCAACAAGCAAUGGUCCCAGAAGACAAAGGCCCAUCCGUGUGUGUCCCAAGACCUCUGCGGGGAGUGUGUGGAGCAGAUAGGCCCAGAAUUCUAUAAAUUCUCCGCACUUGGCCAUCGAGACCCAGGGUGGCCUCGUUCACCAUCCAAAACUAAAGAGGAAAACAAACCAGCUGCCUCCCAACUUGGCUCCUUGGUCCUUAAUGUGAAGAAAGUCAGGUUUCGAAGGUACUCGAACAGGCAAUGUUAGGCUUGACUCUGAACGUGGUCAGUGUAGGCAGAAACUCGUCGCUACUUCUUUGGGCUGCUCCAUCAGUUUCCUAGGACUGCUGUAAAAAGGUGCCACAAACCGGGUUGGCUUUAAAAUAACAGAAACAUAUUCUCUUAUAGUUCUGGCCUGACGUCCAAAAUUCAAGUAUCGGCAGGGU
Molecule: long non-coding RNA, 1309 nt
Filed under: Sus scrofa (pig)
Lineage: Eukaryota; Metazoa; Chordata; Mammalia; Artiodactyla; Suidae
Description: lncRNA (ENSSSCG00040058138.1)
Source: RNAcentral